CCUACGGGAGGCAGCAGUGGGGGAUAUUGCACAAUGGGCGAAAGCCUGAUGCAGCGACGCCGCGUGAGGGAAGACGGUCUUCGGAUUGUAAACCUCUGUCUUUGGGGAAAAAGAUGACUGUACCCAAAGAGGAAGCUCCGGCUAACUACGUGCCAGCAGCCGCGGUAAUACGUAGGGAGCGAGCGUUGUCCGGAAUUACUGGGUGUAACGGGGACGUAGGCGGGGAUGCAAGUUGGUUGUUUAAACUAUCGGCUCAACCGGUAAUUGCAACCAAAACUGCAAGUCUUGAGUGCAGUAGAGGCAGGCGGAAUUCCUAGUGUAGCGGUGAAAUGCGUAGAUAUUAGGAGGAACACCAGUGGCGAAGGCGAUUCUCUGGACUGUAACUGACGCUGAGGCUCGAAAGCGUGGGGAGCAAACAGGAUUAGAUACCCGUGUAGUC
This 439-nucleotide ribosomal RNA is filed under the name uncultured bacterium. RNAcentral's name for it is "partial 16S ribosomal RNA". It matches the Rfam family "Bacterial small subunit ribosomal RNA", at positions 338 to 795 of the family's 1533-position model. The record is from RNAcentral.